CUGGCGCAAAGGUUGACCAGACAUGGAUA
This 29-nucleotide small RNA is filed under the name Bombyx mori (domestic silkworm). RNAcentral describes it as "ovarian small RNA-14943". Lineage: Eukaryota; Metazoa; Arthropoda; Insecta; Lepidoptera; Bombycidae. The record is from RNAcentral.